This 251-nucleotide ribosomal RNA is filed under the name uncultured prokaryote. RNAcentral's name for it is "partial 16S rRNA". It matches the Rfam family "Bacterial small subunit ribosomal RNA", at positions 525 to 775 of the family's 1533-position model. The record is from RNAcentral.
ACGGAGGGUGCAAGCGUUAAUCGGAAUUACUGGGCGUAAAGCGCACGCAGGCGGCUUGUUAAGUCAGAUGUGAAAUCCCCGGGCUCAACCUGGGGACUGCAUCUGAUACUGGCAGGCUUGAGUCUCGAAGAGGGGAGUGGAAUUCCAGGUGUAGCGGUGAAAUGCGUAGAGAUCAGGAGGAACACCGGUGGCGAAGGCGGCUUCCUGGACGAUGACUGACGCUCAGGCGCGAAAGCUUGGGUAGCAAACAG